RNAcentral lists this ribosomal RNA (760 nucleotides) under Listeria monocytogenes. RNAcentral describes it as "bacterial SSU rRNA". It matches the Rfam family "Bacterial small subunit ribosomal RNA", at positions 773 to 1533 of the family's 1533-position model. Lineage: Bacteria; Bacillati; Bacillota; Bacilli; Caryophanales; Listeriaceae. The record is from RNAcentral.
CAGGAUUAGAUACCCUGGUAGUCCACGCCGUAAACGAUGAGUGCUAAGUGUUAGGGGGUUUCCGCCCCUUAGUGCUGCAGCUAACGCAUUAAGCACUCCGCCUGGGGAGUACGACCGCAAGGUUGAAACUCAAAGGAAUUGACGGGGGCCCGCACAAGCGGUGGAGCAUGUGGUUUAAUUCGAAGCAACGCGAAGAACCUUACCAGGUCUUGACAUCCUUUGACCACUCUGGAGACAGAGCUUUCCCUUCGGGGACAAAGUGACAGGUGGUGCAUGGUUGUCGUCAGCUCGUGUCGUGAGAUGUUGGGUUAAGUCCCGCAACGAGCGCAACCCUUGAUUUUAGUUGCCAGCAUUUAGUUGGGCACUCUAAAGUGACUGCCGGUGCAAGCCGGAGGAAGGUGGGGAUGACGUCAAAUCAUCAUGCCCCUUAUGACCUGGGCUACACACGUGCUACAAUGGAUAGUACAAAGGGUCGCGAAGCCGCGAGGUGGAGCUAAUCCCAUAAAACUAUUCUCAGUUCGGAUUGUAGGCUGCAACUCGCCUACAUGAAGCCGGAAUCGCUAGUAAUCGUGGAUCAGCAUGCCACGGUGAAUACGUUCCCGGGCCUUGUACACACCGCCCGUCACACCACGAGAGUUUGUAACACCCGAAGUCGGUAGGGUAACCUUUAUGGAGCCAGCCGCCGAAGGUGGGACAGAUAAUUGGGGUGAAGUCGUAACAAGGUAGCCGUAUCGGAAGGUGCGGCUGGAUCACCUCCUUU